Molecule: RNA transcript, 1912 nt
Organism: Temnothorax curvispinosus
Lineage: Eukaryota; Metazoa; Arthropoda; Insecta; Hymenoptera; Formicidae
Gene: TfIIEalpha
Gene name: general transcription factor IIE subunit 1
Exons: 9
Source: RefSeq, a predicted model, not a curated record
UGCGCGCUCGCGGCGGCUCGCGAAAACGUCGGGCAUCAUGCGGCGCAAUACCGUGGCGUACUGCGGGAUUUUCCCGAUCCUAACCUAGAUCCAGCCGCGAUCGUAGAUCCAUCGCGCGCUGACGGGUGUAGGAUCGACGAUCGUGUUCUCGUGAUUUCUUAAAAAUUUCCGAAGCGUAGGGCGAUGUGUCCCAGCUCAGGACAAAUAUAACGAUAAUCGACGAAGGAAGGGGAAGAACAGAAGGGAGAGAAAAUUCUGAACAUUGAGAAAGAUGAAUAUACGCUUACAAUUCUGCACAUGUAGCAACCGUAUCGCUGGAGAAUGUAGUGCGUGUAACUAUGGUAAAGUGCGUUUGGCAUGAAACUGUGAGCCUGACAUGUAAACGGAUAGUAGCAUUGUAAUAAUAACAAUAAUAGUACUGUGGAUAAAAUUUAUUGUUAUUCGGCAACGAUAUUGAUCGUCAAAAAGCUAAUCUCUCUAAUCGCUUGAAAUAUGAGCGCUGAGGAAAGACUUGUCACCGAGGUGCCUAGUAGCUUGAAGAAACUGGCACGUCUCGUCGUACGUGGAUUUUACUCGAUAGAAGAUGCAUUAAUUGUGGAUAUGUUGGUCAGGAAUCCAUGUAUGAAAGAAGAUGACAUUUGUGAAUUGCUCAAGUUUGAACGUAAGAUGUUGAGAGCCAGGAUAUCAACGUUGCGAAAUGACAAGUUCAUUCAAGUGAGAUUGAAGAUGGAGACAGGAUCAGAUGGCAAAGCGCAGAAAGUCAACUAUUACUUUAUUAACUAUAAGACGUUUGUAAAUGUGGUGAAGUAUAAGCUUGAUUUAAUGAGAAAGAGAAUGGAAACAGAGGAAAGAGAUGCAACCAGUAGAGCUAGCUUUAAGUGUCCGAGUUGUUUAAAGACAUUUACUGAUCUUGAAGUAAGUAAUAUGGCGGAUCAACUUUUUGACAUGAGAACCGGCGAGUUUAGAUGUACAUAUUGUCGGGAAAUAGUGGAAGAAGAUCAGUCUGCUCUUCCAAAGAAAGAUUCCAGAUUAUUAUUAGCAAAGUUCAAUGAACAGUUGGAGCCGCUCUAUAUACUAUUGAGGGAAGUAGAAGGAAUCAAAUUGGCACCUGAAAUACUGGAACCAGAACCCAUUGAUAUUAACACUAUUCGAGGUAUCGACAUGAGAAAACCGAGCAGUCUUAGAGGACCUAACGAACAGUGGUCAGGUGAAGCGACUAGAAUGUCAGGCUUCAUGGUGGAGGACACCAGAGUGGACGUUACCAUCGGAGACGAGUCUCCCGAUGACAGUGCAUCGAAUCACAGAAAGGAAAGACCUAUAUGGAUGAUGGAAAGCACAGUUAUCAAUGCCGACGGUUCACAGCCUGACGGCGUGAAUACGCAAGAUAGCAUCUUGGACAAAGCUGCAGCCACUGCCACAAAUACGACGAUGAAUAAUAAGCAAGGCGAGGACAUUAUGUCGGUGUUGCUGGCUCAUGAGAAGAAGGGCGGCACCAAUUCCACUUCUAUCAAAGCAGUGCUCCCACAGGAAUCCAGCGACAGCAGCGAUAACGAGGAGGAUGCGGAAAUGCAGGCAGUUGAUACCGGCGAAGUAGAGGCGAUGGAUUCCGAGGACGAUGAAUUAGUACCAACCGUGAGUGUCGGUGGCAAGACAGUCGCGAUCACCGACGUUAACGACACCUUGAUUGCGGAAAUGACGCCUAUAGAGAAGGAGGUUUAUAUCCAGACGUAUCAGGAAUAUUACUCGCAUAUGUACGACUAGACGAAGAACAACGAGAGUCGUCGUCUUCACAAUGCUCUGCAUAAGACUGAUAUUGAUUUGCGACAUAGCAAUCCUGACAGGAUCAUCCUGUACGUGUUUCUCUAUCGAUAAAUGUAAGACAGAUGCAUGUAUUCACUAUAGCAUUUGAAGG